This 125-nucleotide small RNA is filed under the name Marmota monax (woodchuck). Lineage: Eukaryota; Metazoa; Chordata; Mammalia; Rodentia; Sciuridae. The record is from RNAcentral.
GCCAGGUGUGGUGGCGCAUACCUGUAAUCCCAGCAGUUUGGGAGGCUGAGGCAGGAGGAUCACAAGUUCAAAGCCAGCUUUAGCAAAAGCAAGGUGCUAAGCAACUCAGUGAGACCCUGUUUCCA